Molecule: long non-coding RNA, 530 nt
Organism: Oncorhynchus tshawytscha (Chinook salmon)
Lineage: Eukaryota; Metazoa; Chordata; Actinopteri; Salmoniformes; Salmonidae
Source: Ensembl
GGAGGUUAUAUACAGGAGGUACCGGUCCAGAGUCCAUGUGGAGGCUAUAUACAGGAGGUACCGGUCCAGAGUCCAUGUGGAGGCUAUAUACAGGAGGUACCGGUCCAGAGUCCAUGUGGAGGUUAUAUACAGGAGGUACCGGUCCAGAGUCCAUGUGGAGGUUAUAUACAGGAGGUACCGGUCCAGAGUCCAUGUGGAGGCUAUAUACAGGGGGUACCGGUCCAGAGUCAAUGUGGAGGUUAUAUACAGGAGGCUCUUAACCAACAAUGCAGUUUUAAGAAAAAUAAGUGUUAAGAAAGCAUUUACUAAAAUAACCUGAGUCCAGAGUCCAUGUGGAGGUUAUAUACAGGAGGUACCGGUCCAGAGUCCAUGUGGAGGCUAUAUACAGGAGGUACCGGUCCAGAGUCCAUGUGGAGGCUAUAUACAGGAGGUACCGGUCCAGAGUCCAUGUGGAGGCUAUAUACAGGAGGUACCGGUCCAGAGUCCAUGUGGAGGCUAUAUACAGGAGGUACCGGUCCAGAGUCCACGUG